RNAcentral lists this ribosomal RNA (301 nucleotides) under uncultured bacterium. RNAcentral describes it as "partial 16S ribosomal RNA". It matches the Rfam family "Bacterial small subunit ribosomal RNA", at positions 509 to 807 of the family's 1533-position model. The record is from RNAcentral.
CAGUCGCCGCGGUAAUACGUAGGGUGCGAGCGUUAAUCGGAAUUACUGGGCGUAAAGCGUGCGCAGGCGGUUAUGUAAGACAGUUGUGAAAUCCCCGGGCUCAACCUGGGAACUGCAUCUGUGACUGCAUAGCUAGAGUACGGUAGAGGGGGAUGGAAUUCCGCGUGUAGCAGUGAAGUGCGUAGAUAUGCGGAGGAACACCGAUGGCGAAGGCAAUCCCCUGGACCUGUACUGACGCUCAUGCACGAAAGCGUGGGGAGCAAACAGGAUUAGAUACCCGAGUAGUCCCUGUCUCUUAUAC